GUAGACCCGUUACAUCUUCCGCGCAGGCCGACUCGACCAGUGAGCUAUUACGCUUUCUUUAAAUGAUGGCUGCUUCUAAGCCAACAUCCUGGCUGUCUAUGCCUUCCCACAUCGUUUCCCACUUAACCAUGACUUUGGGACCUUAGCUGGCGGUCUGGGUUGUUUCCCUCUUCACGACGGACGUUAGCACCCGCCGUGUGUCUCCCGUGAUAACAUUCUUCGGUAUUCGGAGUUUGCAUCGGUUUGGUAAGCCGGGAUGGCCCCCUAGCCGAAACAGUGCUCUACCCCCGAAGAUGAGUUCACGAGGCGCUACCUAAAUAGCUUUCGGGGAGAACCAGCUAUCUCCCGGUUUGAUUGGCCUUUCACCCCCAGCCACAAGUCAUCCGCUAAUUUUUCAACAUUAGUCGGUUCGGUCCUCCAGUUAGUGUUACCCAACCUUCAACCUGCCCAUGGCUAGAUCACCGGGUUUCGGGUCUACACCUUGCAACUAUUCGCCCAGUUAAGACUCGGUUUCCCUACGGCUCCCCUAUACGGUUAACCUUGCUACAAAAUAUAAGUCGCUGACCCAUUAUACAAAAGGUACGCAGUCACACCACGAAGGUGCUCCCACUGCUUGUACGUACACGGGUUCAGGUUCUAUUCCACUCCCCUCGCCGGGGUUCUUUUCGCCUUUCCCUCACGGUACUGGUUCACUAUCGGUCAGUCAGGAGUAUUUAGCCUUGGAGGAUGGUCCCCCCAUAUUCAGACAGGAUGUCACGUGUCCCGCCCUACUCAUCGAACUCACGACCUGUGUAUUUUAGUGUACGGGUCUAC
This 813-nucleotide ribosomal RNA is filed under the name Serratia marcescens. Its description in RNAcentral is "partial 23S ribosomal RNA". The record is from RNAcentral. Lineage: Bacteria; Pseudomonadati; Pseudomonadota; Gammaproteobacteria; Enterobacterales; Yersiniaceae.